Molecule: transfer RNA, 81 nt
Filed under: Actinomycetes bacterium
Lineage: Bacteria; Bacillati; Actinomycetota; Actinomycetes
Also listed under: 1 other name
Description: Actinobacteria bacterium tRNA-Leu
Rfam family: tRNA
About the family: Transfer RNA (tRNA) molecules are approximately 80 nucleotides in length. Their secondary structure includes four short double-helical elements and three loops (D, anti-codon, and T loops).
Source: RNAcentral
GGGCGCGUGGUGGAACGGCAUACACGCUGGCCUUAGGAGCCAGUGCCUUCGGGCAUGAGAGUUCGACUCUCUCCGCGCCCA